ACUAUUUUGGCAGAAAAAUGUAGUGAUUUUAGAAUUCAUUAAUAUAUAAUUUAAUUAUAUAGAUAGUA
Molecule: transfer RNA, 68 nt
Filed under: Blenina donans
Lineage: Eukaryota; Metazoa; Arthropoda; Insecta; Lepidoptera; Nolidae
Also listed under: 1 other name
Description: tRNA-Leu
Source: RNAcentral